This 520-nucleotide ribosomal RNA is filed under the name uncultured Glomus. RNAcentral's name for it is "SSU rRNA". It matches the Rfam family "Eukaryotic small subunit ribosomal RNA", at positions 569 to 1090 of the family's 1831-position model. The record is from RNAcentral. Lineage: Eukaryota; Fungi; Glomeromycota; Glomeromycetes; Glomerales; Glomeraceae.
AGCAGCCGCGGUAAUUCCAGCUCCAAUAGCGUAUAUUAAGGUUGUUGCAGUUAAAAAGCUCGUAGUUGAAUUUCGGGAUCGAUACGUCGGUCGUGCCUUCGGUACGCACUGGCGUUUAUCGAUUUCUCCCUUCUGACGAACCAUGAUGUCAUUAAUUUGGUGUUAUGGGGAAUCAGGACUGUUACUUUGAAAAAAUUAGAGUGUUUAAAGCAGGCAUUAGCUUGAAUACAUUAGCAUGGAAUAAUGAAAUAGGACGUUCGAACCUAUUUUGUUGGUUUCUAGGAUCAACGUAAUGAUUAAUAGGGAUAGUUGGGGGCAUUAGUAUUCAAUUGUCAGAGGUGAAAUUCUUGGAUUUAUUGAAGACUAACUACUGCGAAAGCAUUUGCCAAGGAUGUUUUCAUUAAUCAAGAACGAAAGUUAGGGGAUCGAAGACGAUCAGAUACCGUCGUAGUCUUAACCAUAAACUAUGCCGACUAGGGAUCGGAUGAUGUUAAUUUUUAACGACUCAUUCGGCGCCUUA